RNAcentral lists this ribosomal RNA (468 nucleotides) under uncultured bacterium. RNAcentral describes it as "partial 16S ribosomal RNA". It matches the Rfam family "Bacterial small subunit ribosomal RNA", at positions 28 to 507 of the family's 1533-position model. The record is from RNAcentral.
GACGAACGCUGGCGGCGUGCUUAACACAUGCAAGUCGAACGGAAAGGCCCUGCUUUUGUGGGGUGCUCGAGUGGCGAACGGGUGAGUAACACGUGAGUAACCUGCCCUUGACUUUGGGAUAACUUCAGGAAACUGGGGCUAAUACCGGAUAGGAGCUCCUGCUGCAUGGUGGGGGUUGGAAAGUUUCGGCGGUUGGGGAUGGACUCGCGGCUUAUCAGCUUGUUGGUGGGGUAGUGGCUUACCAAGGCUUUGACGGGUAGCCGGCCUGAGAGGGUGAACGGCCACAUUGGGACUGAGAUACGGCCCAGUCUCCUACGGGAGGCAGCAGUGGGGAAUAUUGCACAGUGGGCGGAAGCCUGAUGCAGCAACGCCGCGUGCGGGAUGACGGCCUUCGAGUUGUAAACCGCUUUCGACUGUGACGAAGCGUGAGUGACGGUAAUGGGUAAAGAAGCACCGGCUAACUACGUG